CUUACAUAUUUCCUCCUUCCCUUUUACAAGAUAACCCUAAGGGUUCUAAGGGUUGCAAAAGGAUGAAGGGUUGCAGAAGGAUGAAGGUCCGUCUCCUGCAAUUUUUUCAUGCUGAAUAGGGUCUAUGAUAUUCCUGCCUAACUAUUGGGGUCUCUUGUAUUUAGGGUAGAGAGGAGCUCAAUCAGAAAGCAUUAGUCCGUUAAGCAUCGGUUGUACCUCUGAGUUCCAGCAAAAGGUAAAACUCUGGCGCUCCAGCAGUUUCUCAGCUUCCUGUGUGGUUUCCUUGAUCUGUCCCCAUGGUACCUGUUAGUUCCUGCAAGUUCCUGCAAGUCUCUGUCUGUCCCUACCUAUCUCUCUUUCCUUAUCUCUAUUUCCUUAUCUCUACUUAUUUCUUAUUGUCCCUGCAGGCCUCUUCAGGUCCCUUCAGGUCUCUGUCCCUGAUAGUUCCUUUAAGUUUCUGCUAGUCUUUGCUAGUCUCUACUUUUGUAUCUCUUUAGGACACUGACCUUAUAUUGCUCUUAUAUUGCUAGUCUUUGCUAGUCUUUAUCCCUAUCUGUCCCUAUUUGUCCCUGUUCGGGCACCACUUGUGACUGACUGCCAUGGUUACUACUUGAGGCCAUCACUACAACAGUUACUACUGUUACUGCUUGAGACCAUCAUUAUGACUGAACAAAGGGAUAAACACAGAAAUGAUGACAAAAGAAACUAUUUAAAGGAAAGGCUAGCAUGGAGAAGAGGAAGAGAGCUCCCUGCUUCUAGUGAGCAAAGGCAGCCCCCCCUUGAGCUUCUACAGCCCUUCUUAUUAGGUAACAAGAGCAAGGAGGAGGAGAAAACCUAUGCCAACCAUGCUCAGAGGAGAUGUAAUGACAGAGAAAGCUUUAAAGAGAUGUUACAUUAUAAGGACUUGACCUCUGCUUUCUGGGACUGAAGACGGAGAAAUGAGGCGAUAAACCAAGUCCUAGAAACAAAUGAAGAGAACAGAGCUGAGAUAGAGUGGUGGUGAUAAUCUCAAGUGAUCUUCCUUCUGAUCUUCCAAGACUCAAUAAAUUUGGAAUGCAACGUUCAUGCUAAGCAAGCACCAAAGACCAGGGCUGCAGUUUGAAAGGGUGAGAUCCCUGAAUUGUCACCAGGAUAUUGCAGUCAGCAGGCCCAUAGUGUCACCUCUGUGCUCCCACAACACUGCUAAGUGCACAAUAGAGAAGAUGUAGAUAUUUAUUACAGGAGAAAUAGUGGUUCUCUACCAACCUAAGAAAGAAGGACAUAGUCUCAGUUCCUC
Molecule: long non-coding RNA, 1276 nt
Filed under: Papio anubis (olive baboon)
Lineage: Eukaryota; Metazoa; Chordata; Mammalia; Primates; Cercopithecidae
Description: lncRNA (ENSPANG00000042792.1)
Source: RNAcentral